RNAcentral lists this microRNA precursor (219 nucleotides) under Physcomitrium patens. RNAcentral describes it as "Physcomitrella patens miR1063a stem-loop (ppt-MIR1063a)". Lineage: Eukaryota; Viridiplantae; Streptophyta; Bryopsida; Funariales; Funariaceae. The record is from miRBase by way of RNAcentral.
GAACGACGACAGGGUCCGUCGCUCACUUACAUCUUGGAGUACUGCAUCUUCGGAUCUGUUGCGCCUUCCGUGCCUGCUCUGGCAAUCGUCAUGAGCCGUUGGAAUGUGGAAAAUUCCUAUCGUGAAUCAUGGUGGUUUGAGAACCGCGCGGAAAGCAACAUUCAAAUUUGUGGAUGCAUUACUCCAAGAAGUGCGUGGGCAACGGGCUACUUGCAGCUG